UACGGGGGAUGCAAGCGUUAUCCGGAAUUAUUGGGCGUAAAGCGCCUGUAGGUUGUUUAGUAAGUCUGUUGUUAAAGACUAGGGCUUAACCCUAGAUAGGCAAUAGAAACUACUAGACUAGAGAAUAGUAGGGGUAGAGGGAAUUUCUAGUGGAGCGGUGAAAUGCGUAGAUAUUAGAAGGAACACCGGUGGCGAAGGCGCUCUACUGGGCUAUUCUGACACUCAGAGGCGAAAGCUAGGGUAGCAAAAGGGAUUAGAGACCCCUGUAGUCCUAGCCGUAAACGAUGAAUACUAGCCAUGGUCACGAAAGUGGCGAAGCUAACGCGUUAAGUAUUCCGCCUGGGGAGUACGCUCGCAAGGGUG
This 363-nucleotide ribosomal RNA is filed under the name uncultured phototrophic eukaryote. RNAcentral's name for it is "SSU rRNA". It matches the Rfam family "Bacterial small subunit ribosomal RNA", at positions 524 to 896 of the family's 1533-position model. The record is from RNAcentral.